This 496-nucleotide ribosomal RNA is filed under the name uncultured bacterium. RNAcentral describes it as "partial 16S ribosomal RNA". It matches the Rfam family "Bacterial small subunit ribosomal RNA", at positions 29 to 507 of the family's 1533-position model. The record is from RNAcentral.
AUGAACGCUGGCGGCGUGCCUAAUACAUGCAAGUCGAGCGAACAGACGAGGAGCUUGCUCCUCUGACGUUAGCGGCGGACGGGUGAGUAACACGUGGAUAACCUACCUAUAAGACUGGGAUAACUUCGGGAAACCGGAGCUAAUACCGGAUAAUAUAUUGAACCGCAUGGUUCAAUAGUGAAAGACGGUUUUGCUGUCACUUAUAGAUGGAUCCGCGCCUCAUUAGCUAGUUGGUAAGGUAACGGCUUACCAAGGCGACGAUGCGUAGCCGACCUGAGAGGGUGAUCGGCCACACUGGAACUGAGACACGGUCCAGACUCCUACGGGAGGCAGCAGAAGGGAAUCUUCCGCAAUGGGCGAAAGCCUGACGGAGCAACGCCGCGUGAGUGAUGAAGGUCUUCGGAUCGUAAAACUCUGUUAUUAGGGAAGAACAAAUGUGUAAGUAACUAUGCACGUCUUGACGGUACCUAAUCAGAAAGCCACGGCUAACUACGUG